GGCCUGAUAUUCGGCCUUGGCCGCUUCUAACGAAGUGUGUGGUGUGGGGGUCUGCUUUCACUCGGCGUCCAGUGUGCUUUGGGGGCGCCCGCCGCGUGGGUUCAGUGAGAUAAGGCCACCGUCAAGGCAGCCAAAGCCUUCCAGCUAAGGCAGCACCCUUCCAGAUAUGGAGAGUGGUGAGGAUCAGACGACAGGAGACAUUUCUCCCGAUGCUCCAGAAGAAAAUCUCGCAGAAAGUCUGGGCCGCCGAGACAUGGGACAGCGCCCUCGCUCUACCAUGGCGCA
Long non-coding RNA from Amphibalanus amphitrite, 285 nucleotides. RefSeq lists it as uncharacterized. The record is from RefSeq and is a predicted model, not a curated record. NCBI's taxonomy places the organism in Eukaryota, Metazoa, Arthropoda, Thecostraca, Balanomorpha, Balanidae. The transcript has 2 exons.